CUCUGUUGAGCAAGUCUGUUGCCCACAGGGAUGUGAAGGGGACCAUCUUGUCUCCUUCCAGUUUUGGCCCUGAAGAGGCUACUCCAGAUACCGGACGAAGGAGAGGCCCUCUUUCCCGUAGAACCUACAGAUCUUUCUCCAGAGAAUGGAGGCCCCCAGGAGGGAGAAGAGGAAUGGAAUGGGACGUUCAGGAUUGAAGGAGAUAACAGCAGGAGGCUUCCAGCAGGUUCUUUGAACGGCCCUCCAGAUCCAGAGUGGAGUUCUGAACACCUGGAUAAGGAAAGUCCCCGUUUCUCCAUCGUUCUGUCCCUCCAGCAAUCUGACGGAGUGAAGCAUCACUUAAAGCUUCUAGAAGAUGCAAUUCAGGGUCUGAAGGAUAUAGAAACAGAAUACUGGAGGCUUCAGCAGCUGGUGGGGAAGUUUACGUCAUCUCAACAAUCUGGUUCCACAUGAGACUUGGCCAAGCGAGGUAGGCAAUAGACAACAGCAGGCAAGGGUUGAGAUGCCAACCCCCAUCCCGUGGACCCACAACAAUCAAGGAUGAGAGUUGAGGCUGACUGGCAGAUGCUGGUCUAUUCCUUUGGACAUUUGAAAUAAACACUUUUGCAGGGGAAAAGUAAAAUAGGCCCACAGUUUUAGUCCAGGGAAACUAGGUCCUUCUCUGUGAAAAGUCCCGGAAUCCCUGGUUUUUGUGCUCUUGAAUUACGACCACAUUUGGGACCAGAAGUUCAGCCACUUAGCAAUGUAUUCAUUAAGCAAGUCAUCGCCUGACCGGAUCUGAUUUUACGACAAUUCUACUGCAGUCGAUUAGAGAGUUGUUCCUGUGGUUAAGUGAAGCCUGCGGUUGUAGAGUGAAUUCAUUGUGAAGCUAAUCCAGCUUCACGCACAUACCCCUUUUUGACUUUGCUCAUCAGAAACCAGCCGGGAAGGCCCCCAAUUGCAAUCGUGUGAGCCCAGGAGCCCUUGUGAAUGCAAGCAGUCAGUGACUGCCGGGGGUGGUGCGACAGUCAUAACGUGGAGGGUGGGUUUUACAGAAACGUCACUCCCCCUUUCUCUUUUUCUAGGCUGAUGACCGAUCCCUUUAUGGUUCUAGGCGAUGAUGGCUUUUGUAUCUGAGUGGUUAUUCUUUUUGGUUUUUUUCCAGGCCUUUUGGAAGCAAAUGAAGGAAGAGACUGGGCUAAUCCGUUUAUCCUGCCAGCACGAGGCAACCCCACGGGGAUCUAAGCUACUGCUUGAUUUGUAUAGGGAGCGAUGCUGUGGAUUUUGUACAUAGAAUUUUCUGCCUAAAACACAUUAUAAGGGGAAAUGUUUAGAGCACGGGUAUCCAAUAUUCACAACUUUUAAGACCUUGGGGACUUCAACUCCCAGAAUUCCCCAGCCGGCCAUGCCGGCUGGGGAAUUCUGGGAGUUAAAGUCCACACACAUCUUCAAGUUGCCAAGGUUGGACACCCCUGAUUUAGAGGUCGAAGCAUCUUAUUUAGAAAAAGUCCUGCAAAACCUUUCAGGUCGGAAAGACAGAUGCUUUGGGGUGGAUCACCUUCCCUUUUUAAGCCAGGGAAAUAGUUUACAGUGCUGAUUCUCAGGGGUGACAUAUUACAAAACUGGGAUCUGAUGAUCUUCUCUCUCGGCCAAAAUAGGUGGUUGGGCUAACCAAGAACUCAGAUGCCUGAGACCAGAGUCCAUCAUUCGAUGGGCUGUUUCCUAAGAGGCUCUCAAGAUACCUCAAAGAGGGUGUGUAAGUAGGAGGCGAGUGCAAUUGUGCCUUCCCUCAAAAGUUCAUCCUCAGCUCCCAGGAGUGUAACUCCUCACCCAUUAGCGGUAUUAUCUUCUACACACACAUAUCACUGUUGUUGUUAGAAAAUGCAGUUGCAGUUGCCAAGCUUCCGUAGGCAGGAGAAACAAACUCACUUCUAAAAGCUCUCCUGUUAAUUUUUUUGGAUUAAUAUUUUAUCCUCACAUAGAUGCACAUAGGUAAACCCUGCAGACCUACCUAUUUUUUUCUACCAAUCUUGGUCUGAACUCAUUUAAUAAGGUCCCAAGUUUUCUGCCACUUCUUCCUGCCCCGUCAUGCUUUUUCUCCAGCCUGCCAAACCCAACCCAGCUCAACCAUCACCACCGGAAGGGUGAAAUUCUUACAAAAAUGGAAUAAGAUAGGUAAAAGUUCAGGUUGGUACUUUCUCCAUGACACACCUUAAAAAAAAAACAAAAAACCUGUUACCUCCAGUCUUCCUGGCCUCCAUAUCUUGCAAAAAGGUUGGGUCUACAUUGAAUGACCCACCACACAAGCCAUGUUAGCUGGGGACUUCAGGAAACUGUCCUCUCAGCUUAUCUUGAGGGCUCCUCAGGUUAGCGAAGGCAGGUUGCCAACGAUGGACCUGCGGGCUGCAAUUCUAAAGAACUUCCAGUCCAAAUAUAAAUGUUUUAAGAUUGGGUGAAAUGUUUCCAUGGUUCUGGGGUUGAAGGGAGUGCCUUUCUGAGUUGCUUUAGAUAUCUCCGAGAACUUCUCCAGCAGGGAGGGAGAUUAGCAACAAGCGUGCUUCCCAGAAAGACUACUUUGCUUCUUGCAGCCAGCCUUCCCUUGGGUACAAACGGAGAUAAUUGAACCUUGAGUGCAAUACAUCCUGAAUCUCUUUGUCUCAACGCAAGGGUUCCCAUCGCCUCAAGCUUAAUUAUUGUUGGGGAGCUGAGCAAGGAAAAAGGUCCCCCCCCCUUUGAAAAGUUAGCCAUUCCUGAAGCUUUCUUCCAAUUAGACCUUUCCUGUUCAUAGGCCCCUCCAUCUUCCGUCAUCUUUUCACUAGAGGGGGAGAAAACAAACCCCAUCCCUUUUGGGAGUGAAAACUCCAAACAGCAUAUCAUGGAUCAGAUCGUGAGUCUGUUGUAGAAGUUGGGACUUCACAUUCAUCCCGUUCAACCUUGAGCCAUCCAUCCCGUGCGCCUUGCCUGCCCCCGCUCGCCUGUCCAUCACAAACCACGCACAAGCAUCCCUUUCUUUUGAACCCUCCCAUAACGCAACGCACGGUGACCUCACGGCUUUUGACCAUCUGCUGUUCUGCACUCUGCUCAGCAGGUGGUGCCCUCACUAUGUGUCUGUGUAGGCAUGCGUGCAGUGCACACCUACAGCCGUUUGCGUGCAUAACAGGUGCUACUUCUUUGGGGUUUUCCGUGGGUUGAGGCAAUUCAUUGUUCAAACCCCGGAGGGAUUUCUCAGCCUCUUUGCAGUGGUUGCAUAAGUGUGUAAACUCGCUGGAUAGAGUUGGUCCCAGGGAACAAACGUGUUUUAAAAGGUCGGGGAAGAUUUGGCUGUGUUGAGAUCCACGCAGCAGCCAAACCUUCCUUUCACUUUUCUUGCUUCCUCAUUAGUUGGGUCUUCGGUUCAGUCAGGAUUGGCGGGUGGGUGGGUUUAGUCAUUGCUAAGCAACCACAAUGUGCUUCCUUGGGAAAAAGAAGUAUUUCUGCACAGAAUGGCAAAUGAUGAGUUAAUUUGGGGAGAUAACAGGGAAGUUUCUGAGAAAGAAAUUGAAUCCAUUCAAGAGGAGAGGAAAAAAGUUUUCAUAUAGGGGGGAGAAAAGUGUUGGUGCCUAACCCACCGAGGGAAUAUAGAACAGGGGGAAGAGGUGAGAGCCCAAUGCACCAGCAUCUUCAGAGACAGGCCUUCAUCUAAUUGCUUCCAAGUGUUUUUAUACUGUCUUGAUAAUGUGCUUGUAUUUUAAGAAAAACUUGUUUCUUUUUUGGGGGGAACUGGGAAACAGUUCCGAUGUUAAGGGAAUGAUGAGGAAUCCAGGGCUGUUUUAUGUAGAGUGAGAUCAUGUUUAGUUGUGUCUAUUUUUUUUUUUAAAUCCAUUGCUGUACAAAGCGUGUAAACCGAUAUAUUCCAUGAUUUUUUUUCUUCUUUGACCUCCCAGUAUUAUGAAGUAUAAAGUUUUAAAAGGGAUGGAGAAAAGGAUGUUGGUUCGCAGCUGAUGUCUUUUGCAGUGUUAAGAAAUAUUCUCAAGAUCGCCCCGUUAGAAACUCCCUCCCCUACAGAUAUUUCAGUUACAUUUCUGGCUUUCCUCUCUUGUUUUAGGGCAGAAAUGAAAGAAUACAUUUUUCUUUUGCAUUUCUAUAAUCAGCCCAUGCUGUGCUCUGUGUUUCUUGCAUAGUUGUACCAUAGAAGAAAAUGUGAUGAUGACUGCAUAUUUUAUGCCUCAAAACAGACAUGAAAAGCCAUUUCCUAGUUUUGAUGAAAGUGGAGAAAAAUGUUGGUGCACAUUCAGGAUUCCUGGCAGAACACUUUUGGUGCAUAGCUCUAUUUUAUUUUACCUGCUUGCUUGUGACUGGGUCAUAGUCCCCAAUUCCAAACUCUUGGGAAUAGAGAAGCUUAACCAGUGAUGUGAAAUCCUCCGUUUGCCAAAUUCAGUAUUCUUAACCAGAGUUCAAAAUCCAGUGGUUUGGGGAUAAAUAUCCAUUAUAUUAAUGAAGAUCCUUAUUAUAGGGACGGGCUAUUUUGCAGUCUUUAUCUGUAGAUGAUUUUACUUGCUACACCGUACAUUAGCUCAUAACUUCCUGAGAAUCUGGAUGCUGGUAUCGUUUAACCAGCUUCAACAAUUUGCUCUGGCUUUAUUUUGCUCUUAUCAUUCGCCCGCCCCAAAAUAGCAGAAAUUUUAAAAUUGUAAAUACCAUUUGGGACCAAAAUAUUUAAGGCUACUACUGCUCUUUUUCCAAGCUGAGCCGGACAGCUUAAAGAUUCUUAAAUAUUUAUUUGUACCUGUUCUCUCAAUUCUAUACCCGUCUCUUUGUCUAUUUGUGUUUGAAAUUUUCUGACCUGGGAAAACAUCUGUAAAUGGAUGUGCAAUUUUUGUUCUUCAAACCCAUCCUGGACAAGUGGCACCAAGUUCACCUUAGUCCUACCUUUUCUUGGAGUUUCAUGGUCAAUGGUCUUGAGAAUGUUUUCAUAAUGGUGACAUGGUAGGUUAAUGCUCAGUUAGUUGAAUGUUUAAUUGUGGAUAUCAGUUCACAUGUAAAGCAGAAGGCAGGCUGGCUUUACGGAGCAGUUUUUGAUAAGAAAGCAUCAUGAGAAUGGUAGAAAGGAGGAAGGCCUCUUGAGAACGAAGCCCGACAAGGUUGUCAUCUGUUUAAUGAUGGGAUGAAAAGGCAGGGUUAGGGUAUUACGGGAUCUUGCAACGUUUCCUAUCCUUCCUUAGGAGCAUAGGGGUUUGAGAUUCCUGUCUGCAUGCAUCCCAUCAUUUUUAUUAGCUUCCUUGGUCUAAUCCUGUCUACAUCUGCUGGACUGCAACUCCCAGAAUUCCUUCUAGCAAAAUGUAUAGGAAUUCUGGAGGGAUCUAAGGUAGAAAAGAUGUGAAAAUUACGUAAGUUGCAAAAGGGGUAAAGACAGAUGAGUAAACCAAAGACAAUCUUGUAAAAAAAUAUAAAUAAUAUUCAUAUAUAUAAAUAUAUAUAUAUAUAUA
This 5444-nucleotide long non-coding RNA is filed under the name Pseudonaja textilis. RNAcentral describes it as "lncRNA (ENSPTXG00000019096.1)". Lineage: Eukaryota; Metazoa; Chordata; Lepidosauria; Squamata; Elapidae. The record is from RNAcentral.